CCUACGGGUGGCAGCAGUGAGGAAUAUUGGUCAAUGGGCGGGAGCCUGAACCAGCCAAGUCGCGUGAGGGAAGACGGUCCUAUGGAUUGUAAACCUCUUUAGGCGGGGAGCAAUGCCGGGCACGCGUGCCCGGAGGCAGAGUACCCGCAGAAUAAGCCUCGGCUAACUCCGUGCCAGCAGCCGCGGUAAUACGGAGGAUGCGAGCGUUAUCCGGAUUUAUUGGGUUUAAAGGGUGCGUAGGCGGAUUUUUAAGUCAGCGGUAAAAUGUCCGGGCUCAACCCGGGCCGGCCGUUGAAACUGGGGAGCUUGAGUGGGCGAGAAGUAUGCGGAAUGCGUGGUGUAGCGGUGAAAUGCAUAGAUAUCACGCAGAACUCCGAUUGCGAAGGCAGCAUACCGGCGCCCGACUGACGCUGAGGCACGAAAGCGUGGGGAUCGAACAGGAUUAGAUACCCCAGUAGUC
RNAcentral lists this ribosomal RNA (460 nucleotides) under uncultured bacterium. RNAcentral's name for it is "partial 16S ribosomal RNA". It matches the Rfam family "Bacterial small subunit ribosomal RNA", at positions 338 to 795 of the family's 1533-position model. The record is from RNAcentral.